UCUGGGCUGUGGUUUCCCCAGUAACACAGAGACCUGUUUCACUGUAUGGAGCAAAUGAACAAGCAGGGAGCUCCUUUUUAAGCGCUUUCUCUGCUGGCUUUGCUGGCACUAUUCCUGCUCCAGUUGUGCAGGUGGAUUACUGACCACCAGAGGGCAUUCCUAAGGCUUUCUAGAAAGAUUAGAGGAGCACCGAUUUGUCAGCAGGACAUUACAGUGGCAGACAAUGUAGAGAAGUCGGAGUCUGAUCAGUUCUAAUGGAAUCCCAGUGUGGUGCAGCAGACAUGGAGUGCCCACAUCAGUUCUGCAUCAAGCAGAGUUCCUCAGAAGGCUCCAUGGCAGAGCCUGAAACCCACAGCCUUACAGGCAGGAACUGCUUCUAUCUUUUUCUGUCUCUGAUUUCUGCAGUCAUUGUGUAUAGGUCACCUAGACUGGAAAAGAAGAAAUAGCAACAACAACAAAAAUCCCCCUUACCAGCAACAAUAAGCCCCUGUCCUCCUGUGAGUAAGGGAGGCUGGGGAACAGAGAUGACAAUUAGCCAGGCUGUGUCUUGGAGCUCCCUGCUGUAGGGACACAUCCACAUAAAGUUGCUGCUGCAAA
Molecule: non-coding RNA, 597 nt
Organism: Coturnix japonica (Japanese quail)
Lineage: Eukaryota; Metazoa; Chordata; Aves; Galliformes; Phasianidae
Source: RefSeq, a predicted model, not a curated record